UACGUAGGUGGCGAGCGUUGUCCGGAAUUACUGGGUGUAAAGCGCGUGUAGGCGGGAGGCCAAGUCUGUGGUGAAAUCGCUCGGCUUAACCGGGCGGGGUCCAUGGAAACUGGUCACCUGGAGGUCGGUAGAGGCAAGUGGAAUUCCCGGUGUAGUGGUGAAAUGCGUAGAGAUCGGGAGGAACACCAGUGGCGAAGGCGGCUUGGCUGGGCCGGACCUGACGCUGAGACGGCGAAGG
RNAcentral lists this ribosomal RNA (238 nucleotides) under uncultured bacterium. Its description in RNAcentral is "partial 16S ribosomal RNA". It matches the Rfam family "Bacterial small subunit ribosomal RNA", at positions 524 to 759 of the family's 1533-position model. The record is from RNAcentral.